GAUGAAGAACGUAGCGAAAUGCGAUAACUAAUGUGAAUUGCAGAAUUCAGUGAAUCAUCGAGUCUUUGAACGCACAUUGCGCCCCCUGGUAUUCCGGGGGGCAUGCCUGUCCGAGCGUCAUUGCUGCCCUCAAGCACGGCUUGUGUGUUGGGCCGCCGUCCCCGGUUUCCCCCGGGGACGGGCCCGAAAGGCAGCGGCGGCACCGCGUCCGAUCCUCGAGCGUAUGGGGCUUUGUCACCCGCUCUGUAGGCCCGGCCGGCGCCAGCCGACACCCAACUUUAUUUCUAAGGUUGACCUCGGAUCAGGUAGGGAUACCCGCUGAACUUAAGCAUAUCAAUAAGCGGAGGA
This 348-nucleotide unclassified non-coding RNA is filed under the name soil metagenome. RNAcentral's name for it is "partial contains 5.8S ribosomal RNA, internal transcribed spacer 2, and large subunit ribosomal RNA". The stretch from base 1 to 120 matches the Rfam family "5.8S ribosomal RNA", at positions 35 to 154 of the family's 154-position model. The record is from RNAcentral.